GGAUGAACGCUGGCGGCGUGCCUAAUACAUGCAAGUCGAGCGAACGGACGAGAAGCUUGCUUCUCUGAUGUUAGCGGCGGACGGGUGAGUAACACGUGGAUAACCUACCUAUAAGACUGGGAUAACUUCGGGAAACCGGAGCUAAUACCGGAUAAUAUUUUGAACCGCAUGGUUCAAAAGUGAAAGACGGUCUUGCUGUCACUUAUAGAUGGAUCCGCGCUGCAUUAGCUAGUUGGUAAGGUAACGGCUUACCAAGGCAACGAUGCAUAGCCGACCUGAGAGGGUGAUCGGCCACACUGGAACUGAGACACGGUCCAGACUCCUACGGGAGGCAGCAGUAGGGAAUCUUCCGCAAUGGGCGAAAGCCUGACGGAGCAACGCCGCGUGAGUGAUGAAGGUCUUCGGAUCGUAAAACUCUGUUAUUAGGGAAGAACAUAUGUGUAAGUAACUGUGCACAUCUUGACGGUACCUAAUCAGAAAGCCACGGCUAACUACGUGCCAGCAGCCGCGGUAAUACGUAGGUGGCAAGCGUUAUCCGGAAUUAUUGGGCGUAAAGCGCGCGUAGGCGGUUUUUUAAGUCUGAUGUGAAAGCCCACGGCUCAACCGUGGAGGGUCAUUGGAAACUGGAAAACUUGAGUGCAGAAGAGGAAAGUGGAAUUCCAUGUGUAGCGGUGAAAUGCGCAGAGAUAUGGAGGAACACCAGUGGCGAAGGCGACUUUCUGGUCUGUAACUGACGCUGAUGUGCGAAAGCGUGGGGAUCAAACAGGAUUAGAUACCCUGGUAGUCCACGCCGUAAACGAUGAGUGCUAAGUGUUAGGGGGUUUCCGCCCCUUAGUGCUGCAGCUAACGCAUUAAGCACUCCGCCUGGGGAGUACGACCGCAAGGUUGAAACUCAAAGGAAUUGACGGGGACCCGCACAAGCGGUGGAGCAUGUGGUUUAAUUCGAAGCAACGCGAAGAACCUUACCAAAUCUUGACAUCCUUUGACAACUCUAGAGAUAGAGCCUUCCCCUUCGGGGGACAAAGUGACAGGUGGUGCAUGGUUGUCGUCAGCUCGUGUCGUGAGAUGUUGGGUUAAGUCCCGCAACGAGCGCAACCCUUAAGCUUAGUUGCCAUCAUUAAGUUGGGCACUCUAAGUUGACUGCCGGUGACAAACCGGAGGAAGGUGGGGAUGACGUCAAAUCAUCAUGCCCCUUAUGAUUUGGGCUACACACGUGCUACAAUGGACAAUACAAAGGGCAGCGAAACCGCGAGGUCAAGCAAAUCCCAUAAAGUUGUUCUCAGUUCGGAUUGUAGUCUGCAACUCUACUACAUGAAGCUGGAAUCGCUAGUAAUCGUAGAUCAGCAUGCUACGGUGAAUACGUUCCCGGGUCUUGUACACACCGCCCGUCACGCCACGAGAGUUUGUAACACCCGAAGCCGGUGGAGUAACCUUUUAGGAGCUAGCCGUCGAAGGUGGGACAAAUGAUUGGGGUGAAGUCGUAACAAGG
RNAcentral lists this ribosomal RNA (1489 nucleotides) under uncultured bacterium. RNAcentral's name for it is "16S ribosomal RNA". It matches the Rfam family "Bacterial small subunit ribosomal RNA". The record is from RNAcentral.